This 1456-nucleotide ribosomal RNA is filed under the name metagenome. RNAcentral's name for it is "bacterial SSU rRNA". It matches the Rfam family "Bacterial small subunit ribosomal RNA". The record is from RNAcentral.
AGAGUUUGAUCCUGGCUCAGAACGAACGCUGGCGGCAGGCUUAACACAUGCAAGUCGAGCGCCCCGCAAGGGGAGCGGCAGACGGGUGAGUAACGCGUGGGAAUCUACCGUACCCUACGGAAUAACGCAUGGAAACGUGUGCUAAUACCGUAUACGCCCUAACGGGGAAAGAUUUAUCGGGGUAUGAUGAGCCCGCGUUGGAUUAGCUAGUUGGUGGGGUAAAGGCCUACCAAGGCGACGAUCCAUAGCUGGUCUGAGAGGAUGAUCAGCCACAUUGGGACUGAGACACGGCCCAAACUCCUACGGGAGGCAGCAGUGGGGAAUAUUGGACAAUGGGCGCAAGCCUGAUCCAGCCAUGCCGCGUGAGUGAUGAAGGCCCUAGGGUUGUAAAGCUCUUUCACCGGAGAAGAUAAUGACGGUAUCCGGAGAAGAAGCCCCGGCUAACUUCGUGCCAGCAGCCGCGGUAAUACGAAGGGGGCUAGCGUUGUUCGGAAUUACUGGGCGUAAAGCGCACGUAGGCGGAUAUUUAAGUCAGGGGUGAAAUCCCGGAGCUCAACUCCGGAACUGCCUUUGAUACUGGGUAUCUGGAGUAUGGAAGAGGUGAGUGGAAUUCCGAGUGUAGAGGUGAAAUUCGUAGAUAUUCGGAGGAACACCAGUGGCGAAGGCGGCUCACUGGUCCAUUACUGACGCUGAGGUGCGAAAGCGUGGGGACAAACAGGAUUAGAUACCCUGGUAGUCCACGCUGUAAACGUUGGGCGCUAGGUGUGGGGACCUUCCACGGUUUCCGCGCCGUAGCUAACGCAUUAAGCGCCCCGCCUGGGGAGUACGGCCGCAAGGCUAAAACUCAAAGGAAUUGACGGGGGCCCGCACAAGCGGCGGAGCAUGUUGCUUAAUUCGACGCAACGCGAAGAACCUUACCAAGGCUUGACAUUGCCCGGAAACACUCAGAGAUGGGUGCCUCUUCGGAUCGGGUGACAGGUGGUGCAUGGCUGUCGUCAGCUCGUGUCGUGAGAUGUUGGGUUAAGUCCCGCAACGAGCGCAACCCUUGUUCAAUGUUGCCAGCACGCUCCUUCGGGGGUGGUGGGGACUCAUUGGAGACUGCCGGGGUCAACUCGGAGGAAGGUGGGGAUGACGUCAAGUCAUCAUGCCCCUUAUGUCUUGGGCUGCAAACAUGCUGCAAUGGCCGGUACAGAGGGCUGCGAUACCGCAAGGUGGAGCGAAUCCCUAAAAGCCGGUCUCAGUUCGGAUUGGGGUCUGCAACUCGACCCCAUGAAGUCGGAGUCGCUAGUAAUCGCAGAUCAGCAACGCUGCGGUGAAUACGUUCCCGGGCCUUGUACACACCGCCCGUCACGUCACGAAAGUCGGCAACACCCGAAGCCCGUGGCCCAACCAGCUUGCUGGGGGGAGCGGUCGAAGGUGGGGCUGGCGAUUGGGACGAAGUCGUAACCUUAAGGUA